RNAcentral lists this ribosomal RNA (253 nucleotides) under uncultured bacterium. RNAcentral's name for it is "partial 16S ribosomal RNA". It matches the Rfam family "Bacterial small subunit ribosomal RNA", at positions 524 to 776 of the family's 1533-position model. The record is from RNAcentral.
UACGAAGGACCCGAGCGUUAUCCGGAUUUAUUGGGUUUAAAGGGUGCGUAGGCGGACUAUUAAGUCAGUGGUGAAAGCCUUCAGCUUAACUGAAGAAUUGCCAUUGAUACUGAUGAUCUUGAGUAUGAUUGAGGUGGGCGGAAUGUGUCAUGUAGCGGUGAAAUGCUUAGAUAUGACACAGAACACCGAUUGCGAAGGCAGCUCACUAAGCCAUAACUGACGCUGAUGCACGAAAGCGUGGGGAGCAAACAGG